AUCAUAUGGUAGGGAACACCCUUCAGAUGUUGACCCCAGCAGCCAUGCCUAUAGGCCAGGUCAGAAACAACCAACGUGCUCAAAAUAGAAACUCCUUAUCAACCACUGGUCACUGGGGUUGAGAGCACCAUGUAUAAGACCACAGCAUUUGUUAUGUGGCCAGCACCAAUAAGGCAGAAAAUGAGGAAGAUCAGAAAGAGCUUCCUUUCUUCUAGGAUGGCUUGAUCAGGAGGCUCUUCAGGUGUGGCUGCCAGCAGUACCAAACUUUUCCUUACAACUUAGCAACUCUAUUCCAGCAAAGUCCCAGGCUAGUCACAUGCCAUGCUAAUUUCUGAAUCUGUCACCAUGACUCUGUCCAAGUCUGGCUUCUGUCGAGCUCUGAAGCCAGAACGUGAAAUUGGCCCCAUGAAACCACAUGGCCCGAAGGACCAAGUCUUUGCAAAACCUAUCAAAUGGAUGGAUGGCUUCAAGACAGCAGAGAACCCACAAGCUUGAAGAGGCCUCCGGAGAGUUCACUCAGGAUAAACGGGGUGCUGGCAUCGUCCUGGUCCUCUCUGUACAGUAACAGUGUUACAGCCCUGUGAGUUCAGUAGUAAAGGAUCUGGAGUCCAUGGGGAAAUUCUAAGGAGAUCAAUGGAACUGAUAUAUUAUAUAGCCAAAUACUUAUUAAUAAAGUAACCAUCCUUAUAAAGGCUGAUUUAGGCAAGCCUCUGCCUUCAGGAGGAAGUUCACUGAAACAAACCUGGCAGAUUGAUGACUCUGUCUUUCAAAUCUCCAGGAAAUAUGGUUUCAUAAUUUUUCUUUAUCACCUAGCCCCAACUUUAAUUUUCAUAAUUCAGUGUGUAAAGCACUGUGCCAGGUUUCUAGUGAGUACACAAUGAGGAAGCCAUACUCUUUGCAUUCAAGAGUUUAUAUAGUUAUACAAAAGCACUUACUAAUGACAAUAUCAGCAACUAACAUUUGAAUGCUUACUAUGUGCUUGGAACUUUAUCUCCUUUAAACCAACAAUAGCCCCAUUAAGUGGGUAAUAUUAUUAGUCCCAUUCUACAGAUGAAAAAACCAAGGCUCACGUAAGUUACAUGAUUUACUAAGGGUCACACAACUGGAAUGGUGGAAUUGAGAUUUAAUCCAGGCAGUCUAUGCCUGUUUAGCAAGUUCUGUUACAGAAGCAUAAGAAAAAGAGACACAAAGCACAAAAGAUUAGAUAUAUUUCAAAUAUGGGAGGACUUUAAAACUGAGAGGAGGUGGUACAGACACAACCGGGGCAGGGAGCAGGUUGUAGUGAAUCUAGAAUGGAGAACAGGCUGGUUGUCAGUAAGAAGUGACGAGAGAGAGAGGUGGGAAAUGACUGAACAGAGAGCUUGAAGCCAGAUCACGAAAGCUUGUCAAAGCUAUGCUAAAGGAGUUUGGAUUUCAUUCUGUAGACAAUGGGAAUGACAGAAAUGUGAACAUGGAAAUAAUAUGCUUUCUUUUGUGU
RNAcentral lists this long non-coding RNA (1477 nucleotides) under Homo sapiens (human). RNAcentral describes it as "HSALNT0384946". Lineage: Eukaryota; Metazoa; Chordata; Mammalia; Primates; Hominidae. The record is from RNAcentral.